UACGUAGGGAGCAAGCGUUGUCUGGAAUCAUUGGGCGUAAAGCGCGCGUAGGCGGCCCUGUAAGUCCGUUGUGAAAGUCAAAGGCUCAACCUUUGAAAGCCGAUGGAUACUGCAGGGCUAGAGUCCGGAAGAGGCGAGUGGAAUUCCUGGUGUAGCGGUGGAAUGCGCAGAUAUCAGGAGGAACACCAAUAGCGAAGGCAGCUCGCUGGGACGGUACUGACGCUAAGGCGCGAAAGCGUGGGGAGCGAACAGG
Molecule: ribosomal RNA, 253 nt
Filed under: uncultured bacterium
Lineage: Bacteria
Description: partial 16S ribosomal RNA
Rfam family: Bacterial small subunit ribosomal RNA
Source: RNAcentral